UACGUAGGGGGGCAAGCGUUGUCCGGAAUUAUUGGGCGUAAAGAGCGUGUAGGCGGUCCGGUAAGUCAGCUGUGAAAGUCAAGGGCUCAACCCUUGAAAGCCGGUUGAUACUGUCGGGCUAGAGUCCGGAAGAGGCAAGCGGAAUUCCAGGUGUAGCGGUGAAAUGCGUAGAUAUCUGGAGGAACACCGGUGGCGAAGGCGGCAUCCUGGACCGAUAUUGACGCUGAUGCGCGAAAGCCAGGGGAGCAAACGGG
RNAcentral lists this ribosomal RNA (254 nucleotides) under uncultured bacterium. RNAcentral describes it as "partial 16S ribosomal RNA". It matches the Rfam family "Bacterial small subunit ribosomal RNA", at positions 524 to 776 of the family's 1533-position model. The record is from RNAcentral.